Molecule: transfer RNA, 76 nt
Filed under: Clostridioides difficile
Lineage: Bacteria; Bacillati; Bacillota; Clostridia; Peptostreptococcales; Peptostreptococcaceae
Description: tRNA-Thr(tgt)
Rfam family: tRNA
About the family: Transfer RNA (tRNA) molecules are approximately 80 nucleotides in length. Their secondary structure includes four short double-helical elements and three loops (D, anti-codon, and T loops).
Source: RNAcentral
GUUGGUUAGAGCGCCNCGGUAGAGCAGCUGACUUGUAAUCAGCAGGUUGUAGGUUCGAUUCCUAUCACCAGCUCCA